Molecule: ribosomal RNA, 253 nt
Filed under: uncultured bacterium
Lineage: Bacteria
Description: partial 16S ribosomal RNA
Rfam family: Bacterial small subunit ribosomal RNA
Source: RNAcentral
UACGUAGGGGGCUAGCGUUGUCCGGAAUCAUUGGGCGUAAAUAGCGUGUAGGCGGCCCGGUAAGUCCGCUGUAAAAGUCAAAGGCUCAACCUUUGAAUGUCAGUGGAUACUGCCGGGCUAGAGUCCGGAAGAGGCGAGUGGAACUCCUGGUGUAGCGGUGGAAUGCGCAGAUAUCAGGAAGAACACCAACGGCGAAGGCAGCUCGCUGGGACGGUACUGACGCUGAGACGCGAAAGCGUGGGGAGCGAACAGG